AACGAACGCUGGCGGCAUGCCUAACGCAUGCAAGUCGAACGAGACCUUCGGGUCUAGUGGCGCACGGGUGCGUAACGCGUGGGAACCUGCCCUUAGGUUCGGAAUAACUCCCCGAAAGGGGUGCUAAUACCGGAUAAUGUCUUCGGACCAAAGAUUUAUCGCCUUUGGAUGGGCCCGCGUUGGAUUAGCUAGUUGGUAGGGUAAAAGCCUACCAAGGCGACGAUCCAUAGCUGGUCUGAGAGGAUGAUCAGCCACACUGGGACUGAGACACGGCCCAGACUCCUACGGGAGGCAGCAGUGGGGAAUAUUGGACAAUGGGCGAAAGCCUGAUCCAGCAAUGCCGCGGGAGUGAUGAAGGCCUUAGGGUUGUAAAGCUCUUUUACCCGGGAUGAUAAUGACAGUACCGGGAGAAGAAGCGCCGGCUAACUCCGU
This 432-nucleotide ribosomal RNA is filed under the name uncultured bacterium. RNAcentral's name for it is "partial 16S ribosomal RNA". It matches the Rfam family "Bacterial small subunit ribosomal RNA", at positions 29 to 506 of the family's 1533-position model. The record is from RNAcentral.